RNAcentral lists this ribosomal RNA (2099 nucleotides) under Escherichia coli KTE14. RNAcentral's name for it is "bacterial LSU rRNA". It matches the Rfam family "Bacterial large subunit ribosomal RNA", at positions 849 to 2925 of the family's 2925-position model. Lineage: Bacteria; Pseudomonadati; Pseudomonadota; Gammaproteobacteria; Enterobacterales; Enterobacteriaceae. The record is from RNAcentral.
CUGGUUCUCCCCGAAAGCUAUUUAGGUAGCGCCUCGUGAAUUCAUCUCCGGGGGUAGAGCACUGUUUCGGCAAGGGGGUCAUCCCGACUUACCAACCCGAUGCAAACUGCGAAUACCGGAGAAUGUUAUCACGGGAGACACACGGCGGGUGCUAACGUCCGUCGUGAAGAGGGAAACAACCCAGACCGCCAGCUAAGGUCCCAAAGUCAUGGUUAAGUGGGAAACGAUGUGGGAAGGCCCAGACAGCCAGGAUGUUGGCUUAGAAGCAGCCAUCAUUUAAAGAAAGCGUAAUAGCUCACUGGUCGAGUCGGCCUGCGCGGAAGAUGUAACGGGGCUAAACCAUGCACCGAAGCUGCGGCAGCGACGCUGAUGCGUUGUUGGGUAGGGGAGCGUUCUGUAAGCCUGCGAAGGUGUGCUGUGAGGCAUGCUGGAGGUAUCAGAAGUGCGAAUGCUGACAUAAGUAACGAUAAAGCGGGUGAAAAGCCCGCUCGCCGGAAGACCAAGGGUUCCUGUCCAACGUUAAUCGGGGCAGGGUGAGUCGACCCCUAAGGCGAGGCCGAAAGGCGUAGUCGAUGGGAAACAGGUUAAUAUUCCUGUACUUGGUGUUACUGCGAAGGGGGGACGGAGAAGGCUAUGUUGGCCGGGCGACGGUUGUCCCGGUUUAAGCGUGUAGGCUGGUUUUCCAGGCAAAUCCGGAAAAUCAAGGCUGAGGCGUGAUGACGAGGCACUACGGUGCUGAAGCAACAAAUGCCCUGCUUCCAGGAAAAGCCUCUAAGCAUCAGGUAACAUCAAAUCGUACCCCAAACCGACACAGGUGGUCAGGUAGAGAAUACCAAGGCGCUUGAGAGAACUCGGGUGAAGGAACUAGGCAAAAUGGUGCCGUAACUUCGGGAGAAGGCACGCUGAUAUGUAGGUGAAGUCCCUUGCGGAUGGAGCUGAAAUCAGUCGAAGAUACCAGCUGGCUGCAACUGUUUAUUAAAAACACAGCACUGUGCAAACACGAAAGUGGACGUAUACGGUGUGACGCCUGCCCGGUGCCGGAAGGUUAAUUGAUGGGGUCAGCGCAAGCGAAGCUCUUGAUCGAAGCCCCGGUAAACGGCGGCCGUAACUAUAACGGUCCUAAGGUAGCGAAAUUCCUUGUCGGGUAAGUUCCGACCUGCACGAAUGGCGUAAUGAUGGCCAGGCUGUCUCCACCCGAGACUCAGUGAAAUUGAACUCGCUGUGAAGAUGCAGUGUACCCGCGGCAAGACGGAAAGACCCCGUGAACCUUUACUAUAGCUUGACACUGAACAUUGAGCCUUGAUGUGUAGGAUAGGUGGGAGGCUUUGAAGUGUGGACGCCAGUCUGCAUGGAGCCGACCUUGAAAUACCACCCUUUAAUGUUUGAUGUUCUAACGUUGACCCGUAAUCCGGGUUGCGGACAGUGUCUGGUGGGUAGUUUGACUGGGGCGGUCUCCUCCUAAAGAGUAACGGAGGAGCACGAAGGUUGGCUAAUCCUGGUCGGACAUCAGGAGGUUAGUGCAAUGGCAUAAGCCAGCUUGACUGCGAGCGUGACGGCGCGAGCAGGUGCGAAAGCAGGUCAUAGUGAUCCGGUGGUUCUGAAUGGAAGGGCCAUCGCUCAACGGAUAAAAGGUACUCCGGGGAUAACAGGCUGAUACCGCCCAAGAGUUCAUAUCGACGGCGGUGUUUGGCACCUCGAUGUCGGCUCAUCACAUCCUGGGGCUGAAGUAGGUCCCAAGGGUAUGGCUGUUCGCCAUUUAAAGUGGUACGCGAGCUGGGUUUAGAACGUCGUGAGACAGUUCGGUCCCUAUCUGCCGUGGGCGCUGGAGAACUGAGGGGGGCUGCUCCUAGUACGAGAGGACCGGAGUGGACGCAUCACUGGUGUUCGGGUUGUCAUGCCAAUGGCACUGCCCGGUAGCUAAAUGCGGAAGAGAUAAGUGCUGAAAGCAUCUAAGCACGAAACUUGCCCCGAGAUGAGUUCUCCCUGACCCCUUAAGGGUCCUGAAGGAACGUUGAAGACGACGACGUUGAUAGGCCGGGUGUGUAAGCGCAGCGAUGCGUUGAGCUAACCGGUACUAAUGAACCGUGAGGCUUAACCUU